AAAGACUCAAUUUAUAGGUUUUCGUGUCUAACGUUUGACCGUCCGUCUUAUUUGAAAAUAUUAUAAAAAAAAUUAAAAAGAUAAAUCACACAUAAAAUAUUAUUCAUGAUUUAUCAUCUAACAACAAUGAAAAUACUAAUUAUAAAAAAAUUUCAUAUAAGACGGAUAGUCAAACGUUAAACACAAAAACUCAGG
This is a non-coding RNA of Oryza glaberrima (African rice), 195 nucleotides long. The record is from Rfam. NCBI's taxonomy places the organism in Eukaryota, Viridiplantae, Streptophyta, Magnoliopsida, Poales, Poaceae.